RNAcentral lists this long non-coding RNA (848 nucleotides) under Citrus x clementina. RNAcentral's name for it is "Citrus clementina (C. clementina) long non-coding RNA (CCLE_LNC005382)". The record is from RNAcentral. Lineage: Eukaryota; Viridiplantae; Streptophyta; Magnoliopsida; Sapindales; Rutaceae.
UAUCCAUAUACCCUCUCCGAAUGAAAAAAAUCUCUGAAAAUACCCGUCCCCGUAGGGAUUUUUGCCAUCCCUACUUUUGAGAUAGCCUACGGACUGGAUUGGUGAAGACCAUGUGAUUUCCGUAGUCUUGCAUCCAACUGAACAGAGAGUCCCGGACAAAGGCCACGUCAUUGGUGAUGACUUUCAUCACCAAUGAAAAAAAUCCCCGAGAAUAUCCGUUUCCGUGGAGAUUUUUGUCAUCCUUACUUUUGAGAUAGCCUACGGACUGGAUUGGUAAAGACCAUGUGAUUUCCGUAGUCCUGCAUCCAACUGAACAGAGAGUCCUGGACAAAGGCCACGUCAUUGGUGAUGACUUUCAUGUCUCCUAAAAGAUUGUUUCUCUUGCUAUAUUAAAAUCUCUGACCGAUUAAAUCCUUGUAAGUAGUUGGUGGUAGUUGCAGUCAAGUGACGUUAACGUGAUGCACUCUUCAUUUAUUAAUUAUUAUUAAUUUAUGCAUGGCUAUCAGAAUUUAAAAAAAAAUUAGGAAUUACUCAAUGGUGAAGUCAGAAGUGCUGAAGAUAAUUGUAUAAUUAUAAAAAUAAAUAAUAAAUUUAUACUUACUACGGUAAUCAUUAGUGUUUUACAGUAGAACAGUUCCAUAAUAGCACUGUCAUAUAAAAAAAUUAAGAUAAGGUCAGACUUUCUUAGACUCCCCCAACUUAAUAUCUUGAAUUAUCAACUAUUAUAUUAGAAUGUAUUGUUUAAUUGUAUUAGAAUUACGAUGCAUUGUUAUUACACGUUAUUACGUUACAUUAAGUCAUAAUGUAUUAUUAUAAUUGGUGUAGUAUGCAUUGUAUUAAUUAUAAUA